RNAcentral lists this ribosomal RNA (236 nucleotides) under uncultured bacterium. RNAcentral's name for it is "partial 16S ribosomal RNA". It matches the Rfam family "Bacterial small subunit ribosomal RNA", at positions 118 to 350 of the family's 1533-position model. The record is from RNAcentral.
UGGGCAACCUGCCCCUCUCUCUGGGAUAAACCCCCGGGGAAACCGGAGCUAAUACCAGAUACUCCGGCUGGAUCGUAUGGUCCGGCCGGGAAAGGUCCGCCGGAGGGGGAUGGGCCCGCGGCCUAUCAGCUUGUUGGUGGGGUGAUGGCCUACCAAGGCGACGACGGGUAGCCGGCCUGAGAGGGCGUCCGGCCACACUGGGACUGAGACACGGCCCAGACCUCCUACGGGAGGCA